AACUGAUGAUUAUAAAGAAAUUUACAGUCCAAGUGCACCAAGUGGGGUUUUACCUUGACCAGCUUCCAAGUAAAAAAUGAGCAUUGCAACCAUUGCGAGUCUGGAAUGUUUAAUCUCUGCAAGCUUCAACCUCUCCAACUUCUCCGCGUCCGGAAUAUAUUCUCCAUUCUGUAUUGUUCCGGCAAAGCUGAGAGGAUCAAAGAAUUUCCCUCCAGGGUAACCUUGUUCUCCGGUGAAGUUGGAGAAGUUCUCCGCUGUCCUCGACCAUGGAGUUGCCCAUUCGACUGACUGUGAUUCUGGGUUUAAGAAGUCAGCCCAUCUUUUGCUCUCCACCCAUCCCAUAAGUAGCAACUGGGUGCCGAGCAGUGUUCCGAAAGAGAAAGGAGCGAUCGCACCUGAAUCGGCUCCAGCCGUGAACCAUGAGAUACCACUCCAUGCUUGGCCGACAAAUAUUCCCAAUACAGCAGCCAUAGCCCAUCGUCCGUGGAUAAGCUCUGCUUCUCGGUACCAUUUGAGGAAGGAUGGAUCCUUGCCUAAUCCCAAUGGGUCAAACCCGAAAUCUCCGGGGAGUCUUAGAUUUAAACACACAAAAUAAUUAACUAGUAAUUAAAAUACACUGCAUGUGCUAAUUAAUUAAUUAAUUUUCACAUCCAUGCACUUACGAUC
RNAcentral lists this long non-coding RNA (666 nucleotides) under Zostera marina. RNAcentral describes it as "long non-coding RNA (ZMAR_LNC005891)". The record is from RNAcentral. Lineage: Eukaryota; Viridiplantae; Streptophyta; Magnoliopsida; Alismatales; Zosteraceae.